GAAAUGCGAUAUGUAGUGUGAAUUGCAGAAUUCAGUGAGCCAUCAAAAUCUUGAACGCAACUUGCACUUAUAGGUUAACCUAUAAGUAUAUCUAUCAGAGUGCCAUUUUUUUAAAAACAUCUUUUAUAAAAAACUCUAAGAGAUUUUAUAAAACUAAUUAGAUGUUCAAAGAGUAUUUCAAUAUCUCUUUUAUCAUCUCAAAUUGAUUUUGUGAAAAAAGAUUUCUCUUUUAAACCUAAAAAAAAUCACAUACAAGAGAUAAAUUCUCCCAAAAAGUGAUUUUUUUCAAAGAGAUAUAUCUUCACGAAAGAAAGAAAAAACUUUGGUUUUUUACUAUCAUUCUCAGUGGCCUCUGAUUAGAUAAGAUUUACCUGCUAAACUUAA
RNAcentral lists this unclassified non-coding RNA (384 nucleotides) under uncultured Powellomyces. RNAcentral describes it as "sequence contains ITS1". The stretch from base 1 to 105 matches the Rfam family "5.8S ribosomal RNA", at positions 50 to 154 of the family's 154-position model. Lineage: Eukaryota; Fungi; Chytridiomycota; Chytridiomycetes; Spizellomycetales; Powellomycetaceae. The record is from RNAcentral.